AUGAUUUCUUCAGUGGUCUUCAUGAGCUGUAGCCUUUCAGGACACAUUUGGGAAAAUCAGUUCUGUUCUGUGAAUUUUGGGAUGAGCAGCAAACUCUAAGACAUCUGGAAGAGAAGGGGACCAGGGCUUGCAGAGAUAACACCAGGCCUUGCACUUUUUACCUGUACCCAGAGCUGCCAACAAGAAAAGGAAUAGCUGUGAUUAUCUGCCCCCACCCCCAGCUCUCUCUC
This is a long non-coding RNA of Alligator sinensis (Chinese alligator), 230 nucleotides long. RefSeq lists it as uncharacterized. The record is from RefSeq and is a predicted model, not a curated record. NCBI's taxonomy places the organism in Eukaryota, Metazoa, Chordata, Crocodylia, Alligatoridae. The transcript has 3 exons.